GUUUGUUCCGCCUUUCUCUCGGCCUAGGGGGCGGCGGAGUGUUGGAGGCAUGACAGGAGCUGGCCUGGGACCUAUGCCAUGGGGACCUGCUGCAAUCACUGGAGAGCGCCUACCCUGCUGCUGCUGACCCAUCGCCAGCUGCUUUUUUUUGUAAAGGGUGGGGAGAAUGUUUAAUAAAACAUCAGAAAAAAUUUGUGAAACUUUAUUUCCUUAUUGUGCUCUCUAGCACUGCCUUUGAACUAGUGAAGUGUCCGGCUGAUGGCUUCACUGGCUAAGCAACAGUGCCACAGGAAAAAACUUGUUCAUAACUGGUGCUGCUUAGUUAAAAUCUGAGUGGCUCUUUUAAGAUCAAGUAACAACGUUAUUACUGCACCUCUUGAAUUUAAUUAUGGUCAUCAAUUAAGAUUUAAGCCCUCCCCUUUCUGAAUGAAAUUUCCUUUGUCUAGUGGCCCAGGACUUCUAUAUGGAGGACCUCUGAAAGACAUACCUGUGGGUGAUCAAAGUUAAUAUGAUCUCUAAACAGUUGCCAGACUUCUUUCCAUAGUGUGUCCCUAGGACCUUGGCACACCCUUUGUAGAAUUGACUCUGUGAUGGAGUAAAGGUAGCAUCAGGUAUACCACACUUGAAGUCUGGUGAUGUAUAAUAUACAAUUUUGUAUUAUGUAUAUGGGGUAGAUUAGAAUAGCCUGCAGCAAGUAGUCCCCCCUCUAUGAUGGCUAAACUUGUCCUGUCCUUGCAGUGAAGGAGGCAGACCUAGCUUAAGGGUGGUGCUCUCCCUGCCAUAUGGCCCCUGAACCAUCCUCUGUGCCUGUAGGGGGAAUGCCCUGCUGGGAAUUUAUAUAAGCAAUAAAAACAGGGUAAAUUAGCUAAAUAUUGGGUGAAAAGUGAAAUGCACUCAAAUGCUGGCAGGAUCUAAAAUAAAAUGUCCUCUUAUAGCCUUAUUUUGUUCAACUGAACAAAGCUGUUGCACAGUGGAAUAAGAUGCAGUAGACACUACACAGGUGAAGUGGAUAGGGAAAGAAUUUUUAAUCUCCCAUACAUAAAUUGGGUUGUUGUCCAAUUCUAUAGUAGCUUUAAGAUCGAUGUAUAGGGUUUUUCCCAAGUUUGGCUUCACUACUGUUUUCCUGCAACAUAGAUCAAGCAGAGGAAAGAAAGCUGUGUAAAGGGAAACAGUAUUUGAACCACACCACCUUGAGUGGAGCCCAGUGAUUAUUAAGGUUUUUCCUUGGCAGUUCUAAGGCAUCUUUCAAGGGUAGUAGACAUCUUGUCACUCAUGAUCAGUGAGUUUGUCCUUCCACCUCUGGUAAGGCAUACUGACUUGUAAGAGGAAGACUUGGCAGCAGCUAGAAUUGAGCUUAGGAGUAGACAAGGGGAUACACCUUUCAGAGAGAAGCCAUUUUUUGUCUUUGACCAAAAUAUUUUGAGAGCCACAUCACAUGUAAAGCUUAAAGAGUUAGAAUUUAUCAACUAAUAAUUGAACAUUAAAGUUUUACUACUCACCAAUA
Molecule: long non-coding RNA, 1504 nt
Organism: Mauremys mutica (yellowpond turtle)
Lineage: Eukaryota; Metazoa; Chordata; Testudines; Geoemydidae
Exons: 2
Source: RefSeq, a predicted model, not a curated record